Molecule: ribosomal RNA, 331 nt
Filed under: uncultured eukaryote
Lineage: Eukaryota
Description: partial 18S ribosomal RNA
Rfam family: Eukaryotic small subunit ribosomal RNA
Source: RNAcentral
CCCUUAGAUGUUCUGGGCCGCACGCGCGCUACACUGACGAAGUCAGCGAGCAUGUCCUACGCCGACAGGUGCGGGGAAUCUUGUCAAACUUCGUCGUGAUGGGGAUUGAUUAUUGAAAUUCUUGAUCAUCAACGAGGAAUUCCUAGUAAGCGCAAGUCAGCAGCUCGCGUUGAUUACGUCCCUGCCCUUUGUACACACCGCCCGUCGCUACUACCGAUUGAACGGUUUAGUGAGGGCCUCGGAUUGGUCUCGGCCCGCUCUUUACCGGGCGGCGCCGUUGGUCGAGAAGACGCUCGAACUUGAUCGUUUAGAGGAAGUAAAAGUCGUAACA